GACGAACGUUAGCGGCGCGCUUAACACAUGCAAGUCGAACGAGAAAGGAUGCCUUCGGGUAUCCCGGUAAAGUGGCGCACGGGUGAGUAACACGUGGGUAACCUACCCUGGGCGGGGGAUAACGUUCCGAAAGGGACGCUAAUACCGCAUAAGACCACGUCCUGAAACGGGAUGAGGUCAAAGUGGGCCAAAUCAUGAAAGCUCACACCUGGGGACGGGCCCGCGGCCCAUCAGGUAGUUGGUAGGGUAAUGGCCUACCAAGCCUAAGACGGGUAGCUGGUCUGAGAGGAUGAUCAGCCACACUGGAACUGAGACACGGUCCAGACUCCUACGGGAGGCAGCAGUGGGGAAUCUUGCGCAAUGGGCGAAAGCCUGACGCAGCGACGCCGCGUGAGUGAUGAAGGCCUUAGGGUUGUAAAGCUCUGUGGAGCGGGACGAA
RNAcentral lists this ribosomal RNA (439 nucleotides) under uncultured bacterium. RNAcentral's name for it is "bacterial SSU rRNA". It matches the Rfam family "Bacterial small subunit ribosomal RNA", at positions 28 to 449 of the family's 1533-position model. The record is from RNAcentral.